RNAcentral lists this long non-coding RNA (1308 nucleotides) under Serinus canaria (Common canary). RNAcentral describes it as "lncRNA (ENSSCAG00000008110.1)". Lineage: Eukaryota; Metazoa; Chordata; Aves; Passeriformes; Fringillidae. The record is from RNAcentral.
AGAAAAACCCGGAGUGGAGCAGGACCAGGAAGAUGCUGCACCUCGGGAUGCUGCGGCGCCCCUGCUGCUCCUGCCUCUGCCCCGGCAUUCCCUAACGGGGAAACGGGAGAAGGAGACCUGGUGGAUGUGCAGCGAGCAUCCUGCGGGGCGGCGGGAGAGCCCACGAGCGAGUCCUGCNNNNNNNNNNNNNNNNNNNNNNNNNNGAGCGAGUCCUGCCAGUGGAAAUGCUGCUGCAUUCCUGAUUAAAUAAAUAAAUAAAACAUAUAAAAAGAGAUGGGGUUAGGAGGAAGGAGAAAUCUAUAGCUGCGAUUUUUACAUGGCAUGUUUAUUUAUUUACGGUAUUUAAUGGAAGCCGCUCCUCCAUUUCAUCCUGAGAGCAAGGCCAAGGCCGGCCCCGGAGCGCUGCUCCCAGCUGUUCACUCGCAUCCCUCAAUGACAUUGGACACCUGGCCCCAAAUGUGGGGACUCGGGCUGAGUUGAAGCAGCAGAGGUUUGGGCUUUUCGGAAUUGGAAGGCGUGGGCCGUGUUCCCGCUGUUUCGCCGGAGCUCGUAGUAGCCAUGCUGCACGGCAUAUGGGUGUCCUGAGUGAUCACAGAUUUGUUGCAAUACUUUGGCAUGGGCAGAUAGCAAAAUGAUGCUGGAGUAUAAGAAAGCAGACAUCUGCGAGCAUUAGCUAUAUUCUAGGCUGUUGGUUGUUGGGGUUUUUUUUAAGAAGUACAUUAAGAAAUUUGCAAAUGUCACAUUAUUAAUGCAAAUGUCAAAAUUAAAUUUUUACAUUUAAACCUGAAUUCUUCUUGAGCAUCUUGUAUUACAAUAUCCUUCAGUGAUGCUACCCCAUCAUUUCCAACAACCUUGUACUGUACGUGUUUCUUCUUCUUGUUUUUCCAUGUGAGAAUGGUCCUGUGGUCUGAGUUACUCAUCAACUCUUGUACCCCAUAGAAAAGAUGGAAAGGUUCAAUUCUUUGUCACAGAAAUUGAAGGGAAGAUCAACAGGGACAGGAUUGCCACACGAGCACACCUAUGUGUAAUUCAAGAAUAACUCAAAACUAUGUGCAUUUGGGUGGUAGCACAACCCUCCUGAGAUUCCCUGUAGGAAAAUCAGGCAUUUUCACAUGAAACCACCCUGGAAUGCCAUGUGUGUGUCUAUCAUAGAUUUUAUCAGCCACACACAGGCUCUCGUGUCCUCAAAUUGAACCAGAGAGAUCUUCAUGUGCCAUAAAUUUUUACUGUUGCUGGGUACAGCUGUGGCUGCUACGGGUGCUGGUUCUGAGCAGAACAAGUGUCCUUUCUAUGCAUGUCAUGGCAUUG